RNAcentral lists this small nucleolar RNA (73 nucleotides) under Myotis lucifugus (little brown bat). The record is from RNAcentral. Lineage: Eukaryota; Metazoa; Chordata; Mammalia; Chiroptera; Vespertilionidae.
GAAUGAGUCACUCGUUUUUAAAUUCUGCUCUUCCCGGCAGAUUGUGUGGUGGUGAACUUACGGUUUUCUGAGG